GACGAACGCUGGCGGCGUGCUUAACACAUGCAAGUCGAACGAAGUGGCGAACGGGUGAGUAACGCGUAAUCAACCUGCCCUUCAGAGGGGGACAACAGUUGGAAACGACUGCUAAUACCGCAUACUGAAGGAGGGGAUUGCGUUUGAUUAGCUAGUUGGAGGGGGAACGGCCCAACAAGGCGAUGAUAAGUAGCCGGUCUGGGGAGAUGAACCGCCACAUUGGGACUGGGACACGGGCCCGACUCCUACGGGAGGCAGCAGGUGGGAAUCUUCCGCAAUGGACGAAAGUCUGACGGAGCAACGGCGCGUGAGGGAUGACGGCCUUCGGGUUGUAAAGCUCUGUUAAGCGGGACGCGGUACCGGAAUAGAAAGCCACGGCUAACUACGUGCCAGCCGCCGCGGUAAUUC
This 408-nucleotide ribosomal RNA is filed under the name uncultured bacterium. Its description in RNAcentral is "partial 16S ribosomal RNA". It matches the Rfam family "Bacterial small subunit ribosomal RNA", at positions 28 to 526 of the family's 1533-position model. The record is from RNAcentral.